RNAcentral lists this non-coding RNA (78 nucleotides) under Candidatus Omnitrophota bacterium. RNAcentral describes it as "Omnitrophica WOR c-di-GMP sequence". It matches the Rfam family "c-di-GMP-I-GGC riboswitch aptamer". The record is from RNAcentral. Lineage: Bacteria; Pseudomonadati; Candidatus Omnitrophota.
AACGAUAAAGGCAAACUCGGGGUAACCCGGGGACGCAAAGCUAAAGGGUCCUGAGACAUGGAUAGCCAGUUGCCGAAA